CGGGCAAGUCAGUCUGAUGUGAAAUUCCGAAGCUCAACUUCGGAGCUGCAUUUGAAACUGCUUGCCUUGAGGGUAGACGGGGAAACGGAAUUCCACAUGUAGCGGUGAAAUGCGUAGAUAUGUGGAAGAACACCUGUGGCGAAAGCGGUUUUCUAGUUUAUUCCUGACGCUGAGGCGCGAAAGCAAGGGUAGCAAACAGGAUUAGAUACCCUGGUAGUCCACGCCGUAAACGAUGAUUACUCGGUAUUGGCUUCGGUCAGUGCCCAAGCGAAAGUGAUAAGUGUUCCGCCUGGGGAGUACGCACGCAAGUGUGAAACUCAAAGGAAUUGACGGGGGCCCGCACAAGCGGUGGAGUAUGUGGUUUAAUUCGAUGCAACGCGAAGAACCUUACCAGGGUUUGACAUCCUGCGAACCUCUUGGAAACGAGAGGGUGCCUUCGGGAACGCAGUGACAGGUGGUGCAUGGCU
This 467-nucleotide ribosomal RNA is filed under the name uncultured bacterium. RNAcentral's name for it is "bacterial SSU rRNA". It matches the Rfam family "Bacterial small subunit ribosomal RNA", at positions 576 to 1050 of the family's 1533-position model. The record is from RNAcentral.